AUUGAACGCUGGCGGCAUGCUUUACGCAUGCAAGUCGAACGGUAACAGGCCGCAAGGUGCUGACGAGUGGCGAACGGGUGAGUAAUGCAUCGGAACGUGCCCAGUCGUGGGGGAUAACUACUCGAAAGAGUAGCUAAUACCGCAUACGAUCUAUGGAUGAAAGCGGGGGGCCGUAAGGCCUCGCGCGAUUGGAGCGGCCGAUGUCAGAUUAGGUAGUUGGUGGGGUAAAGGCUCACCAAGCCAACGAUCUGUAGCUGGUCUGAGAGGACGACCAGCCACACUGGGACUGAGACACGGCCCAGACUCCUACGGGAGGCAGCAGUGGGGAAUUUUGGACAAUGGGCGCAAGCCUGAUCCAGCAAUGCCGCGUGCAGGAAGAAGGCCUUCGGGUUGUAAACUGCUUUUGUACGGAACGAAACGGCUCUGGUUAAUACCCGGGGCUAAUGACGGUACCGUAAGAAUAAGCACCGGCUAACUACGUG
RNAcentral lists this ribosomal RNA (482 nucleotides) under uncultured bacterium. RNAcentral's name for it is "partial 16S ribosomal RNA". It matches the Rfam family "Bacterial small subunit ribosomal RNA", at positions 30 to 507 of the family's 1533-position model. The record is from RNAcentral.